UACGUAGGGGGCGAGCGUUGUCCGGAUUUACUGGGCGUAAAGGGCGUGCAGGCGGUUUCUUAAGUUCCGCGUGACAGUUCUCGGCUCAACCGAGAAAGGCUUGCGGAAAACUGAGGAACUUGAGGGUCAGAGAGGGACAUAGAAUUCCGGGUGGAGUGGUGAAAUGCGUAGAGAUCCGGAGGAAUACCAAAGGCGAAGGCAGUGUCCUGGCUGACAUCUGACGCUGAGGCGCGAAAGCUAGGGGAGCGAACAGGAUUAGAUACCCUGGUAGUCCUAGCCGUAAACGAUGACCACUAGAUGUGCGGGGUAUCGACCCCCUGCGUGUCGGAGCUAACGUUUGAAGUGGUCCGCCUGGGGAGUACGGUCGCAAGAUUAAA
This 377-nucleotide ribosomal RNA is filed under the name uncultured bacterium. RNAcentral's name for it is "bacterial SSU rRNA". It matches the Rfam family "Bacterial small subunit ribosomal RNA", at positions 524 to 898 of the family's 1533-position model. The record is from RNAcentral.